UCUCCGUUGGUGAACCAGCGGAGGGAUCAUUACCGAGUUUACAACUCCCAAACCCAAUGUGAACCAUACCAAACUGUUGCCUCGGCGGGGUCACGCCCCGGGUGCGUCGCAGCCCCGGAACCAGGCGCCCGCCGGAGGGACCAACCAAACUCUUUCUGUAGUCCCCUCGCGGACGUUAUUUUUACAGCUCUGAGCAAAAAUUCAAAAUGAAUCAAAACUUUCAACAACGGAUCUCUUGGUUCUA
Molecule: unclassified non-coding RNA, 244 nt
Filed under: plant metagenome
Description: partial contains small subunit ribosomal RNA, internal transcribed spacer 1, and 5.8S ribosomal RNA
Source: RNAcentral